Molecule: ribosomal RNA, 497 nt
Filed under: uncultured bacterium
Lineage: Bacteria
Description: partial 16S ribosomal RNA
Rfam family: Bacterial small subunit ribosomal RNA
Source: RNAcentral
GAUGAACGCUGGCGGCGUGCCUAAUACAUGCAAGUCGAGCGAACAGAUAAGGAGCUUGCUCCUUUGACGUUAGCGGCGGACGGGUGAGUAACACGUGGGUAACCUACCUAUAAGACUGGGAUAACUUCGGGAAACCGGAGCUAAUACCGGAUAAUAUUUCGAACCGCAUGGUUCGAUAGUGAAAGAUGGUUUUGCUAUCACUUAUAGAUGGACCAGCGCCGCAUUAGCUAGUUGGUAAGGUAACGGCUUACCAAGGCGACGAUACGUAGCCGACCUGAGAGGGUGAUCGGCCACACUGGAACUGCGACACGGUCCAGACUCCUACGGGAGGCAGCAGUAGGGAAUCUUCCGCAAUGGGCGAAAGCCUGACGGAGCAACGCCGCGUGAGUGAUGAAGGUCUUCGGAUCGUAAAACUCUGUUAUUAGGGAAGAACAUACGUGUAAGUAACUGUGCACGUCUUGACGGUACCUAAUCAGAAAGCCACGGCUAACUACGUG